GUCCCCUUCGUGCGGCUGAUGCUGGCUGGCCUGCGCAGUGUGGUGGGCCAGGUGAGGAGCGGCCGGACCCUGCGCCUCGCUUGUGCUGUUGUGAAACAGUGGCUGGAAGGAGUGAAGACUCACUUGUCCUCUGGAUCCCAAUGCCCCUGGCCUGCCAUGGAGAAAGAGCAGAUCUAUGAGAACCUUCAGGAGCUGCUCUUCUCUGUGCUGAGGAACUGGCAGGACUGCCAGGAGGAGGAGG
Phasianus colchicus (ring-necked pheasant) is the source of this 241-nucleotide non-coding RNA. Lineage: Eukaryota; Metazoa; Chordata; Aves; Galliformes; Phasianidae. The record is from RefSeq and is a predicted model, not a curated record.